CUGCUGUGAUGACGUCGAUGGUGGCUGAUCUGGUAUGGCGUCCCUGCGGGGACACUCUGACCAGCGAAUGAUCUCGCUGUAAUCUUCUCUCUGAGCAG
Synchiropus splendidus (mandarinfish) is the source of this 98-nucleotide small nucleolar RNA. RefSeq annotates it as Z30 small nucleolar RNA. The record is from RefSeq and is a predicted model, not a curated record. Lineage: Eukaryota; Metazoa; Chordata; Actinopteri; Syngnathiformes; Callionymidae. The transcript has a single exon.